AGCCGCCGCGGUAAUACGGAGGGUGCAAGCGUUAAUCGGAAUUACUGGGCGUAAAGCGUGCGUAGGCGGUUUAUUAAGUCAGAUGUGAAAGCCCCGGGCUUAACCUGGGAACUGCAUUUGAAACUGGUCAACUAGAGUAUGGUAGAGGAAAGUGGAAUUUCUGGUGUAGCGGUGAAAUGCGUAGAUAUCAGAAGGAACAUCAAUGGCGAAGGCAGCUUUCUGGACCAAUACUGACGCUGAGGUACGAAAGCGUGGGUAGCAAACAGGAUUAGAUACCCUGGUAGUCCACGCCGUAAACGAUGAUAACUAGCCGUUGGGGGGAUUUACCCUUUAGUGGCGAAGCUAACGCGUUAAGUUAUCCGCCUGGGGAGUACGGCCGCAAGGUUAAAACUCAAAGGAAUUGACGGGGACCCGCACAAGCGGUGGAGCAUGUGGUUUAAUUCGAUGCAACGCGAAGAACCUUACCUGGUCUUGACAUCCUGCGAACUUUCUAGAAAUAGAUUGGUGCCUUCGGGAACGCAGUGACAGGUGCUGCAUGGCUGUCGUCAGCUCGUGUCGUGAGAUGUUGGGUUAAGUCCCGUAACGAGCGCAACCCCUAUCCUUAUUUGCCAGCACGUCAUGGUGGGAACUAUAAGGAGACUGCCGGUGAUAAACCGGAGGAAGGCGGGGACGACGUCAAGUCAUCAUGGCCCUUACGACCAGGGCUACACACGUGCUACAAUGGGAAGGACAAAGAGCCGCGAAGCCGCGAGGUGUAGCUAAUCUCAGAAACCUUUUCGUAGUCCGGAUUGGAGUCUGCAACUCGACUCCAUGAAGUCGGAAUCGCUAGUAAUCGUAGAUCAGAAUGCUACGGUGAAUACGUUCCCGGGUCUUGCACACACCGCCGGU
This 888-nucleotide ribosomal RNA is filed under the name uncultured bacterium. RNAcentral's name for it is "bacterial SSU rRNA". It matches the Rfam family "Bacterial small subunit ribosomal RNA", at positions 510 to 1397 of the family's 1533-position model. The record is from RNAcentral.